RNAcentral lists this transfer RNA (73 nucleotides) under Niastella vici. RNAcentral describes it as "tRNA-OTHER". It matches the Rfam family "tRNA". From Rfam's summary of the family: Transfer RNA (tRNA) molecules are approximately 80 nucleotides in length. Their secondary structure includes four short double-helical elements and three loops (D, anti-codon, and T loops). Lineage: Bacteria; Pseudomonadati; Bacteroidota; Chitinophagia; Chitinophagales; Chitinophagaceae. The record is from RNAcentral.
GGUCUGUUCACCUAGCUGGUUAGGCUUCCCGCUUUAGCGGGAUGCAUGAGUUCGAAUCUCAUACAGACUACCA